UCUCCUGUAGCUCAGUGGUAGAGCGUCCGACCGGUGUGCGGAAGACAUAGGUUCGACUCCAGUUGGGAGAA
This 71-nucleotide transfer RNA is filed under the name Desmophyllum pertusum. RNAcentral's name for it is "Lophelia pertusa tRNA". It matches the Rfam family "tRNA". From Rfam's summary of the family: Transfer RNA (tRNA) molecules are approximately 80 nucleotides in length. Their secondary structure includes four short double-helical elements and three loops (D, anti-codon, and T loops). Further hydrogen bonds mediate the characteristic L-shaped molecular structure. tRNAs have two regions of fundamental functional importance: the anti-codon, which is responsible for specific mRNA codon recognition, and the 3' end, to which the tRNAs corresponding amino acid is attached (by aminoacyl-tRNA synthetases). tRNAs cope with the degeneracy of the genetic code in two manners: having more than one tRNA (with a specific anti-codon) for a particular amino acid; and 'wobble' base-pairing, i.e. permitting non-standard base-pairing at the 3rd anti-codon position. Lineage: Eukaryota; Metazoa; Cnidaria; Anthozoa; Scleractinia; Caryophylliidae. The record is from Rfam by way of RNAcentral.